CAGCAGCCGCGGUAAUACGGGGGGAGCAAGCGUUGUUCGGAUUUACUGGGUUUAAAGGGCGCGUAGGCGGCGUGACAAGUCACUUGUGAAAUCUCCGGGCUUAACUCGGAACGGUCAAGUGAUACUGUCGUGCUAGAGUACAGAAGGGGCAACUGGAAUUCUCGGUGUAGCGGUGAAAUGCGUAGAUAUCGAGAGGAACACCUGCGGCGAAGGCGGGUUGCUGGGCUGAUACUGACGCUGAGGCGCGAAAGCCAGGGGAGCGAACGGGAUUAGAUACCCCGGUAGUCCUGGCCUUAAACGAUGAAUGCUUGGUGUCUCGGGUUAUAAAGUCCCGGGGUGCCGUCGCUAACGCUUUUACAAUUCCGCCUGGGGAGUACGGUCGCAAGACUGAAACUCAAAGGAAUUGACGG
This 410-nucleotide ribosomal RNA is filed under the name uncultured bacterium. RNAcentral describes it as "bacterial SSU rRNA". It matches the Rfam family "Bacterial small subunit ribosomal RNA", at positions 509 to 916 of the family's 1533-position model. The record is from RNAcentral.